Long non-coding RNA from Triplophysa dalaica, 802 nucleotides. RefSeq lists it as uncharacterized. Lineage: Eukaryota; Metazoa; Chordata; Actinopteri; Cypriniformes; Nemacheilidae. The record is from RefSeq and is a predicted model, not a curated record. The transcript is spliced from 3 exons.
AAAAUGCUGGGUUAUUUGUUUAACCCAACAGCUGGGUUGAGCCUGUUGGGUCAUUUUGUUGGGUUAUUUUCUUAGUGUUGGGUCAUUUUUUGAGUAACCCAAACGCUGGGUUACCAGUCUGGUCCAAUUGAGUGACAGUUGAGAGAGUAAACCCCUCCCACUCCUCUACGCAUCAGACAAACUUUACCUUCGCGGGCAUUUUGAUCCACUUCAUCUCGGAAAGCUGUUAUUCGGAGAAUAAAAGGUUGCAGAAUAACAGCUAAUAUUAAUGGAUCAUUCUAUUCAAGAGAAUGUCAACUGGAACGUGGAUGUUUUCAUAACAGGCUUAAAGAUGAACAAAUUGAUAAAGAAACCCUCCUGCUGGACAUCCACUUCCAAAAGUGCACACCACACUGUUGUCUACAACUCCUAGGAAAAGAAUCCUCUUAAGUAAGACUGCUCCGUGGAUAUGUCAGGUUAAGCAGUGCUGAAACCGAAAGAACUAACACUAUUUAAAAUGUUUUGUGAGUUUAUAUGAAGAGGAAAGUUACGGUGUCCCUUUUUCACAUCCAUAACGCUUGUUUAUUUCUUUUUUUAUAGAAAACUUGUGCAUAGACUUAUAUUUUAACAUAUAAAUGCGGUUCUAUUAACAAGGGUUUAGUAAAAUACUUUUUAUAGCGUUUUGAAGUGUUAAGUUGUCUAACUAUUUAUAUUUACUUGUGCCACUUUAAUAACCUUGUUAAAUGUAUAUGUUAAAAUCUAAACUAAUGUAAUUUAUUGAAAUUAAUGUUCUUUAAAUAUGUAUAAACAUACAUUUCAUCAA